RNAcentral lists this transfer RNA (75 nucleotides) under alpha proteobacterium HIMB114. It matches the Rfam family "tRNA". From Rfam's summary of the family: Transfer RNA (tRNA) molecules are approximately 80 nucleotides in length. The record is from Rfam by way of RNAcentral. Lineage: Bacteria; Pseudomonadati; Pseudomonadota; Alphaproteobacteria; Candidatus Pelagibacterales; Candidatus Pelagibacteraceae.
GGGGGUGUAGCUCAGCUUGGUUAGAGCGCCUGCCUGUCACGCAGGAGGCCGCGGGUUCGAGUCCCGUCACUCCCG